AAAGGGAGACCUAAUUCAGGUAGGAGACGAAAAAAAAGUAGUCGCUACCAAGAAUCAAUCCCAAAAGGUCGGAGCGAGGCGAAAUUGGCUUUCAAACUAGGUUCUGGGUUCACACAAGACCUGAAUCAGGAACAAGGGCUAUUAGCUCAGGUGGUUAGAGCGCACCCCUGAUAAGGGUGAGGUCCCUGGUUCGAGUCCAGGAUGGCCCACCUGCACAGGUGGCAAAAACAAGAGAAGCGAGGAAUCAGCACCUUAUCUUAUCUAUAUAUAUAUAGGAGAGAAUGCUGGCUCUGAGUAAAGAGUCCAGAGGAACCUUGAAAACUGCAUAGAGCUAGGUGAAAAAGCCAAAAAAGAAGACCGCAAG
This 364-nucleotide transfer RNA is filed under the name uncultured Microcystis sp. Its description in RNAcentral is "partial 16S-23S ribosomal RNA intergenic spacer". The stretch from base 136 to 209 matches the Rfam family "tRNA". The record is from RNAcentral. Lineage: Bacteria; Bacillati; Cyanobacteriota; Cyanophyceae; Chroococcales; Microcystaceae.